UACGUAGGGGUCGAGCGUUGUCCGGAGUUAUUGGGCGUAAAGCGCGCGCAGGCGGUUGAUCGAGUCUGACGUGAAAGUUCCCGGCUCAACCGGGAAAGGUCGUUGGAUACUGGUCGACUUGAGGACGGCAGGGGUUGGUGGAAUUCCCGGUGUAGUGGUGAAAUGCGUAGAGAUCGGGAGGAACACCCGUGGCGAAGGCGGCCGGCUGGGCCGGACCUGACGCUGAGGCGCGAAGGCGUGGGGAGCGAACGGG
This 253-nucleotide ribosomal RNA is filed under the name uncultured bacterium. RNAcentral describes it as "partial 16S ribosomal RNA". It matches the Rfam family "Bacterial small subunit ribosomal RNA", at positions 524 to 776 of the family's 1533-position model. The record is from RNAcentral.